CGGACCGGCGCACGGUGAGUAACGCGUAUCCAACCUGCCCACCACUUGGGGAUAACCUUGCGAAAGUAAGACUAAUACCCAAUGAUAUCUCUAGAAGACAUCUGAAAGAGAUUAAAGAUUUAUCGGUGAUGGAUGGGGAUGCGUCUGAUUAGCUUGUUGGCGGGGUAACGGCCCACCAAGGCGACGAUCAGUAGGGGUUCUGAGAGGAAGGUCCCCCACAUUGGAACUGAGGCACGGUCCAA
RNAcentral lists this ribosomal RNA (242 nucleotides) under uncultured bacterium. Its description in RNAcentral is "partial 16S ribosomal RNA". It matches the Rfam family "Bacterial small subunit ribosomal RNA", at positions 91 to 334 of the family's 1533-position model. The record is from RNAcentral.